This 850-nucleotide ribosomal RNA is filed under the name Mycolicibacterium austroafricanum. Its description in RNAcentral is "bacterial SSU rRNA". It matches the Rfam family "Bacterial small subunit ribosomal RNA", at positions 598 to 1445 of the family's 1533-position model. The record is from RNAcentral. Lineage: Bacteria; Bacillati; Actinomycetota; Actinomycetes; Mycobacteriales; Mycobacteriaceae.
AAACUCACAGCUCAACUGUGGGCGUGCGGGCGAUACGGGCAGACUGGAGUACUGCAGGGGAGACUGGAAUUCCUGGUGUAGCGGUGGAAUGCGCAGAUAUCAGGAGGAACACCGGUGGCGAAGGCGGGUCUCUGGGCAGUAACUGACGCUGAGGAGCGAAAGCGUGGGGAGCGAACAGGAUUAGAUACCCUGGUAGUCCACGCCGUAAACGGUGGGUACUAGGUGUGGGUUUCCUUCCUUGGGAUCCGUGCCGUAGCUAACGCAUUAAGUACCCCGCCUGGGGAGUACGGCCGCAAGGCUAAAACUCAAAGAAAUUGACGGGGGCCCGCACAAGCGGCGGAGCAUGUGGAUUAAUUCGAUGCAACGCGAAGAACCUUACCUGGGUUUGACAUGCACAGGACGUGCCUAGAGAUAGGUAUUCCCUUGUGGCCUGUGUGCAGGUGGUGCAUGGCUGUCGUCAGCUCGUGUCGUGAGAUGUUGGGUUAAGUCCCGCAACGAGCGCAACCCUUAUCUUAUGUUGCCAGCGCGUAAUGGCGGGGACUCGUGAGAGACUGCCGGGGUCAACUCGGAGGAAGGUGGGGAUGACGUCAAGUCAUCAUGCCCCUUAUGUCCAGGGCUUCACACAUGCUACAAUGGCCGGUACAAAGGGCUGCGAUGCCGUGAGGUGGAGCGAAUCCUUUCAAAGCCGGUCUCAGUUCGGAUCGGGGUCUGCAACUCGACCCCGUGAAGUCGGAGUCGCUAGUAAUCGCAGAUCAGCAACGCUGCGGUGAAUACGUUCCCGGGCCUUGUACACACCGCCCGUCACGUCAUGAAAGUCGGUAACACCCGAAGCCGGUGGCCUAACCCCUUG